Molecule: small RNA, 316 nt
Filed under: Pongo abelii (Sumatran orangutan)
Lineage: Eukaryota; Metazoa; Chordata; Mammalia; Primates; Hominidae
Description: processed transcript
Source: RNAcentral
CGAAGAGCGCAGCCGCCGAGCCCGAGGACCUGCCCCGCGGCCGGGGGAUGCUGCCCAUCCCAGUGGCGGCUGCCAAGGAGACGGUUGCUAUUGGCAGAACAGACAUUGAAGACUUAGACCUCUAUGCCACAUCUCGGGAGAGGCGAUUUCGUUUAUUUGCUUCUAUAGAAUGUGAAGGGCAGUUAUUCAUGACUCCAUAUGAUUUUAUUUUGGCUGUUACAACAGAUGAGCCCAAAGGAAUUAAAUCAAAUGCUCGCAGAAACACCACCAGUUUGGAAAGGCUCAUCAAAGCUAUUUCGAAAUCUUAAAGAAAGAG